UAUGUAGGGGGCAAGCGUUGUCCGGAUUUAUUGGGCGUAAAGAGCUCGUAGGCGGUUCCGUAAGUCGUGAAGUCAAAUCUCUGGGCUCAACCCAGAAUCGCUUCCGAUACUGCGGUGACUGGAGUCCGGUAGGGGAGUGUGGAAUUCCGGUGGAGCGGUGAAAUGCGUAGAGAUCGGAAAGAACACCAACGGCGAAAGCACUCUGCUGGGCCGACACUGACACUGAGAGACGAAAGCUAGGGGAGCGAAUGGG
Molecule: ribosomal RNA, 253 nt
Filed under: uncultured bacterium
Lineage: Bacteria
Description: partial 16S ribosomal RNA
Rfam family: Bacterial small subunit ribosomal RNA
Source: RNAcentral